GAUGAACGCUGGCGGCGUGCCUAAUACAUGCAAGUCGAGCGAACAGAUAAGGAGCUUGCUCCUUUGACGUUAGCGGCGGACGGGUGAGUAACACGUGGAUAACCUACCUAUAAGACUGUGAUAACUUCGGGAAACCGGAGCUAAUACCGGAUAACAUAUUGAACCACAUGGUUCAAUAGUGAAUGGCGGCUUUGCUGUCACUUAUAGAUGGAUCCGCGCCGUAUUAGCUAGUUGGUAAGGUAACGGCUUACCAAGGCAACGAUACGUAGCCGACCUGAGAGGGUGAUCGGCCACACUGGAACUGAGACACGGUCCAGACUCCUACGGGAGGCAGCAGUAGGGAAUCUUCCGCAAUGGGCGAAAGCCUGACGGAGCAACGCCGCGUGAGUGAUGAAGGUCUUCGGGUCGUAGAACUCUGUUAUCAGGGAAGAACAAAUAUGUAAGUAACUGUGCACAUCUUGACGGUACCUGAUCAGAAAGCCACGGCUAACUACGUGCCAGCCGCCGCGGUAA
Molecule: ribosomal RNA, 513 nt
Filed under: uncultured bacterium
Lineage: Bacteria
Description: partial 16S ribosomal RNA
Rfam family: Bacterial small subunit ribosomal RNA
Source: RNAcentral